CCUACGGGAGGCUGCAGUGAGGAAUUUUCGUCAAUGGGCGCAAGCCUGAACGAGCGAUGCCGCGUGAGUGAAGAAGGCCUACGGGUCGUAAAGCUCUGUUGCGGGGGAAAAAAGGAAGCAGCAGGGAAUGGGGGCUGACUGAUGGUGCCCCGACAGAAAGUCACGGCUAACUACGUGCCAGCAGCCCCGGUAAUACGUAGGUGGCGAGAGUUAGCCGGAAGGGUUGGGCGUAAAGGGUGCGCAGGCGGUGCUGCAAGUCUGGAGUGAAACGCAUGAGCUCAACUCAUGCAUGGCCUUGGAAACGGGAGGACUGGAGAGGAGGAGAGGGCGGUGGAACGCCAUGUGUAGCGGUAAAAUGCGUAGAUAUAUGGAAGAACACCAGUGGCGAAGGCGGCCGCCUGGCCUGUUGCUGACGCUGAGGCACGAAAGCGUGGGGAGCAAAUAGGAUUAGAUACCCGGGUAGUC
Molecule: ribosomal RNA, 465 nt
Filed under: uncultured bacterium
Lineage: Bacteria
Description: partial 16S ribosomal RNA
Rfam family: Bacterial small subunit ribosomal RNA
Source: RNAcentral